RNAcentral lists this long non-coding RNA (326 nucleotides) under Zea mays. Its description in RNAcentral is "long non-coding RNA (ZMAY_LNC001596)". Lineage: Eukaryota; Viridiplantae; Streptophyta; Magnoliopsida; Poales; Poaceae. The record is from RNAcentral.
GCCAUCGCGGCUGCUGAUGACGAUUGCAAGCCUGCCGAUGACGAGUCAACGUCGUGGAAGCGCCUCGUGGACGGUAUGCGCCCGCUCCGCCUCCGCGGGCAGCUGGAGUACUACCCGCCGCCACCGCCGCCACCGCCGCUGGGCCACGCCGAUGUGUACCAUGACGUGAUCCUCCCGCCGCCGUCGCAGGCACGGUUCGGCUUCGAGAUCAAGGAGGUGGGCAUGACCAGCCGCUACGCGUCCGCUGAGGAUCUGCACCAGAUGGACAGCGACCAGGAAGAGGGUGCUGAGGGUGGCGAUGACGGUGACAGCAGUUGCCCACACGC